GAUAGUCCGCAAGGAUUAUCAGGGAGUGGCAAACGGCUGAGUAACGCGUAAGUGACCUACCUUCAAGUGGGGGAUAACCUGUCGAAAGACAGGCUAAUACCGCAUGUGUUAGUAAGUUAAAUCACAUUUAUUAGGAAAGCCUUCGGGCGCUUGAAGAUGGGCUUGCGUCUGAUUAGCUAGUUGGUGGGGUAACGGCCUACCAAGGCGAUGAUCAGUAGCUGGUCUUAGAGGACAACCAGCCAGACGGGGACUGCGACACGGCCCUGACUCCUACGGGAGGCAGCAGCAAGGAAUUUUGCGCAAUGGGCGAAAGCCUGACGCAGCAACGCCGCGUGGGGGAUGAAGGCCCUCGGGUUGUAAACCCCUUUUCUCGGGGAAGAAUAAUGACGGUACUCGAGGAAUAAGUCUUGGCUAACUACGUGCCAGCAGCCGCGGUAAUACGUAGAAGGCGAACGUUAUCCGGAAUUACUGGGCGUAAAGCAGGUGCAGACGGUUCCAUAAGUCGGGUGUUAAAUCUCCUGACUUAAUCAGGAGGGGUCAUUCGAUACUGUGGAGCUUGAGGGCAGCAGAGGAAGGCGGAAUUCCCGGUGUAGCGGUGAA
Molecule: ribosomal RNA, 600 nt
Filed under: uncultured bacterium
Lineage: Bacteria
Description: bacterial SSU rRNA
Rfam family: Bacterial small subunit ribosomal RNA
Source: RNAcentral